RNAcentral lists this transfer RNA (67 nucleotides) under Blepephaeus succinctor. RNAcentral describes it as "tRNA-Trp". The record is from RNAcentral. Lineage: Eukaryota; Metazoa; Arthropoda; Insecta; Coleoptera; Cerambycidae.
AAGGAUUUAAGUUAAUUAUAAACUAUUAACCUUCAAAGUUAAAAAUAGAGAAAAUUUCUAAGCCUUA